UAUUGAAGAACUUAGUGUACAAUCUACAUGGUAGCAAUUUGUUCACUGCUUUAUCAUGAUUAAUUUAAAUAAAAGGAUCAACUUGUACAGUUUGAGAGUGCUAAGUUUCAUUAUCCAAAACGUGGUUAGAAGAAAACAAAUCUCGCAAUUUGUAUUGUGUUAUAACAUUCCAACUAUGUCUUCUAUCUAAGCCUAACCCCAUUCUAACCCGUCUUGAGUAUUUGGCACACAACAUGUUCUUAUGCCGCAUAUCAAAGAUUUGUUGUCCUGGCAAAUUGAUUCGACAUAAAUUGUUAGGAAAAAAAAAACAAGGAAUACUCUAAAAUUUUAUUAUACGAAUUAUGUAGCGUUAGCACACAAUUAUUGUUUGUCUGGUUGUUUCAAUAUAGAAUGUUGUUAUUGUUAUUACUCCAUCCUAACUUAUCCCUUUUAACCAUGAGCAAUCAAAUCAAUAAGAGUUAGCUUUAUAUGUGACUAGUGAUAAGUGCAAAAACACUAAUGAAGGAGAAAAAUUAUUCUAACAGUUAUUGGAUGUAAUAAUUACUGAAUGGAAAUAGGGUAACAAUUAUUGGAAAAGUAAAAAAAGACUUGGCACCGUUCAUACAAACUGGUGUUUUAAGUUACAUUUUCCAAUUUGCCUAGAUUUUCACUAUAUGGGAGUUAAUGAAAAGUUAUUGCCCAGUUUUGAAUUGGAGGUGCUUCGUUCUUAAGAUGAUGUUGACAAAGUGGAACUUCCCUAAGAUUGCUAGGUUGCUGAGAAAUUCCCCUAAUUUGAAGAUGUUUGAUAUACACUUAUGUCCUGGCAGUGAUCCUCUUCAUGUUAACAAUGAUCGAUGGCUUAUGGAGUGUGAGAUCGAGGGAGAAAACUUUUGAAAUCUGCAACGGCAGUCUUUUUAUUGUCUUACGAGCUACCUCAAGACUGUCUGCACACAUGGCUUUAGAAUAGAGUCUUGUGCUAUUCAACUAGUGCAGUUCCUGCUCAAAAGUGUUGUGGUUUUGGAAAAAAAUAGUGAUUGUGAUUAAGUGAGUUGUAGAUGUUGAUGAGCAAAACCGUGUCAUGUCAGAGAGAUUGCAGGAAUUUUCCCAAGAGUUAUUGAAUUUUCCAAGAGCAUCUCACCAAGUUGUGAUAUUGUUUUCCUGAAAAAUGUUGUAGCUAACCAAAAUGCUUAUGAUAUGGUCGAUAUAUGUUUGUUUCCUAAAUUGGCCUCAAUAUGAGUUUUACCCUUUUGAAUUGGCAUCUUUUUUAUUAAUACAUUUUACAUUAGUUGGAAAA
This is a non-coding RNA of Camellia sinensis, 1273 nucleotides long. The record is from RefSeq and is a predicted model, not a curated record. NCBI's taxonomy places the organism in Eukaryota, Viridiplantae, Streptophyta, Magnoliopsida, Ericales, Theaceae.